UUCCCUGUGACUCAGUAAGUAGAGCUUUGCACUUUCAAUGCAAAGAUUCUGGGUUCAACUCCCAGGAAAAGGAAG
Non-coding RNA from Danionella cerebrum, 75 nucleotides. The record is from the annotation of a GenBank genome assembly. Lineage: Eukaryota; Metazoa; Chordata; Actinopteri; Cypriniformes; Danionidae.